This is a long non-coding RNA of Peromyscus californicus insignis, 1069 nucleotides long. RefSeq lists it as uncharacterized. The record is from RefSeq and is a predicted model, not a curated record. NCBI's taxonomy places the organism in Eukaryota, Metazoa, Chordata, Mammalia, Rodentia, Cricetidae. The transcript is spliced from 5 exons.
GCUGCUGUCAUGUCUGCCCCCGUGUGCCUGUCUCCUCACAGGGGACGCUAGUCCUGUGGGUGUCUGGACGGUACCCGUGGCCACCAGACGCCGGCGACUUUGGUCCCUGCUCCUUUCGCUUCCUCCUCCCCCGUGGGACCCUCGCGGGACCCCGAAUUGGGUCCAGUGAUGCCGGGGGUGACGUGGACUCCGGAGCGGGCGCUUCUGAGGGGUUUCUCCACGGAGGCCGAGCGACUGUUGUGCAAGCAGGAGGGGCGCCUUGGCUCAGACAUUGGAGUUUUCUUAGACUUGCUGUUGGAAGGGAGCUAUGAAGCCAUGUUCUUACAUUCAUUGACACGAAAUAUAUUCAACUCCACAAUGAUGACUGGAGAAAAGAUUGACAGCUACCUGGAGAAGCAGAUAGUAAAUUUCCUGGAUUGCUCUACGGAUUUGGAAGACUUUGGAAGGGGAGAAAAGAUGAAGUCACACCCAUCGUGAAGCUGAUGAGUGGUACAGCACAGCUAUCGAGUUUUGUUUUGCUUUUUAAGCAUACUAUCCUGUCUUCGUCAUGUACUAGAAGUGACCCAGGAGAAGCCCGGACUGGGAACGCAGCGCUGGGGGAACACAGAGAUCCCGAUACAUCUUCCCCUUCAAAGAUGUCUGUCCCACAUCCACAUCUGUGGUAGAGGAAUAAAGAUGCAACGUGACUCGCUAGCCUAAGCCCCUGCAAUUGUGACCUCCUCUACCACGAUGGACCAAUGGACCAUAACCUUGGGUGAUGGAUCGUGAGGACUAAAGUUAACCUGUAAGCUCCACUUGCCCAAGGACAGAUAACUUCCUGGAAUGCUGGGGGCUGUUGUUCACGUCAGACAACAAGCCAAGUGUUUUCAGUAAACAAAAUUGGUUGCCCCAACUACACAAGAUGUGCUUGAUCACAAGGUAGGCAGGAGGUACAUGGGCAGGAUGUACUCAGGAUGUAUGCUUGCCCCUGAUUGGACGAAGGCACCAUUCUCUGGGAAUCCCGGGUGUGGACCUGGCCAGUGUCCAUCUUUCCUGUCAACAUUUAUUAAAGUUUGCUUUAAUGAGGCAA